UGCCAGCCGCCGCGGUAAUACGAAGGGUGAAAGCGUUGUUCGGAUUUAUUGGGCGUAAAGCGCGCGCAGGCGGAUAGGUAAGUCAGGUGUGAAAUCUCGGGGCUCAACCCCGAAACUGCGCCUGAAACUAUCAAUCUAGAAUCUCGGAGAGGGAAGGGGAAUUUCGCAUGUAGGGGUAAAAUCCGUAGAGAUGCGAAGGAACACCAGAGGCGAAGGCGCCUUCCUGGACGAGUAUUGACGCUGAGGCGCGAAAGCGUGGGGAGCAAACAGGAUUAGAUA
This 279-nucleotide ribosomal RNA is filed under the name uncultured bacterium. RNAcentral's name for it is "partial 16S ribosomal RNA". It matches the Rfam family "Bacterial small subunit ribosomal RNA", at positions 506 to 784 of the family's 1533-position model. The record is from RNAcentral.